GACGAACGCUGGCGGCGUGCCUAAUACAUGCAAGUCGAACGAACUCUGGUAUUGAUUGGUGCUUGCAUCAUGAUUUACAUUUGAGUGAGUGGCGAACUGGUGAGUAACACGUGGGAAACCUGCCCAGAAGCGGGGGAUAACACCUGGAAACAGAUGCUAAUACCGCAUAACAACUUGGACCGCAUGGUCCGAGUUUGAAAGAUGGCUUCGGCUAUCACUUUUGGAUGGUCCCGCGGCGUAUUAGCUAGAUGGUGGGGUAACGGCUCACCAUGGCAAUGAUACGUAGCCGACCUGAGAGGGUAAUCGGCCACAUUGGGACUGAGACACGGCCCAAACUCCUACGGGAGGCAGCAGUAGGGAAUCUUCCACAAUGGACGAAAGUCUGAUGGAGCAACGCCGCGUGAGUGAAGAAGGGUUUCGGCUCGUAAAACUCUGUUGUUAAAGAAGAACAUAUCUGAGAGUAACUGUUCAGGUAUUGACGGUAUUUAACCAGAAAGCCACGGCUAACUACGAGCCAGCAGCCGCGGUAAUACGUAGGUGGCAAGCGUUGUCCGGAUUUAUUGGGCGUAAAGCGAGCGCAGGCGGUUUUUUAAGUCUGAUGUGAAAGCCUUCGGCUCAACCGAAGAAGUGCAUCGGAAACUGGGAAACUUGAGUGCAGAAGAGGACAGUGGAACUCCAUGUGUAGCGGUGAAAUGCGUAGAUAUAUGGAAGAACACCAGUGGCGAAGGCGGCUGUCUGGUCUGUAACUGACGCUGAGGCUCGAAAGUAUGGGUAGCAAACAGGAUUAGAUACCCUGGUAGUCCAUACCGUAAACGAUGAAUGCUAAGUGUUGGAGGGUUUCCGCCCUUCAGUGCUGCAGCUAACGCAUUAAGCAUUCCGCCUGGGGAGUACGGCCGCAAGGCUGAAACUCAAAGGAAUUGACGGGGGCCCGCACAAGCGGUGGAGCAUGUGGUUUAAUUCGAAGCUACGCGAAGAACCUUACCAGGUCUUGACAUACUAUGCAAAUCUAAGAGAUUAGACGUUCCCUUCGGGGACAUGGAUACAGGUGGUGCAUGGUUGUCGUCAGCUCGUGUCGUGAGAUGUUGGGUUAAGUCCCGCAACGAGCGCAACCCUUAUUAUCAGUUGCCAGCAUUAAGUUGGGCACUCUGGUGAGACUGCCGGUGACAAACCGGAGGAAGGUGGGGAUGACGUCAAAUCAUCAUGCCCCUUAUGACCUGGGCUACACACGUGCUACAAUGGAUGGUACAACGAGUUACGAACUCGCGAGAGUAAGCUAAUCUCUUAAAGCCAUUCUCAGUUCGGAUUGUAGGCUGCAACUCGCCUACAUGAAGUCGGAAUCGCUGGUAAUCGCGGAUCAGCAUGCCGCGGUGAAUACGUUCCCGGGCCUUGUACACACCGCCCGUCACACCAUGAGAGUUUGUAACACCCAAAGUCGGUGGGGUAACCUUUUAGGAACCAGCCGCCUAAGGUGGGACAGAUGAUUAGGGUG
Molecule: ribosomal RNA, 1489 nt
Filed under: Lactiplantibacillus plantarum
Lineage: Bacteria; Bacillati; Bacillota; Bacilli; Lactobacillales; Lactobacillaceae
Description: bacterial SSU rRNA
Rfam family: Bacterial small subunit ribosomal RNA
Source: RNAcentral